AACGAACGCUGGCGGCAUGCCUAACACAUGCAAGUCGAACGAGAACUUCCGGUCUGCUGGCUUAUGGGUGCGUAAAGGGUGGGAACCUGCCCUUAGGUUCGGCAUAACUCCCCGAAAGAGGUGCUAAUACCGGGGAAUAUCUUCGGACCAAAGAUUUAUCGCGUUUGGUUGGGCCCGCGUUGGUUUAGCUAGUGGGUAGGCUAAAAGCCUACCACGGCGACGAUCCAUAGCUGGUCUGAGAGGAUGAUCAGCCACACUGGGACUGAGACACGGCCCAGACUCCUACGGGAGGGAGGAGUGGGGAACAAUGGGCACUGGGCGGAAGCAGGAUCCAGCAGUGCGGGGUGAGUGAUGAAGGCUUGAGGGCUGUAAAGCCCUUUUACCCGGGAUGAUAAGGACGGUCCCGGGAGAAUAGGCCCCGCCUACCUCCGG
RNAcentral lists this ribosomal RNA (432 nucleotides) under uncultured bacterium. RNAcentral describes it as "partial 16S ribosomal RNA". It matches the Rfam family "Bacterial small subunit ribosomal RNA", at positions 29 to 506 of the family's 1533-position model. The record is from RNAcentral.